UCCCAGGUGGCUCAGUGGUAGAGAAUCUGCCCGCAGUGUGGGAGACCCAGGUUCAAUCCCUGGGUUGGGAA
This 71-nucleotide transfer RNA is filed under the name Ovis aries (sheep). It matches the Rfam family "tRNA". Rfam says of the family: Transfer RNA (tRNA) molecules are approximately 80 nucleotides in length. Their secondary structure includes four short double-helical elements and three loops (D, anti-codon, and T loops). Lineage: Eukaryota; Metazoa; Chordata; Mammalia; Artiodactyla; Bovidae. The record is from Rfam by way of RNAcentral.